AGAAGAGGAAACCGGUGAAGUAAGUUUUUAAGAAAUUUCAUGUAUCUUGUCUACUGUACUUGUGCAAGUCGAACUGUUGUUGAAGCAUGUUAAUAUGUGCAAUUUAAACAAUGUUUUGCGCUACACAGGAAAGCUUCAGCAAAGGUGACUGAAGUUAUUAUGAUGACUCGGGGGAGAAAGAGAAAAGAGAACAAUGACGAAGUGUGUGCUAAGAACAAAAGACCUUUCAAGUAAGUUUAUGCAAUUUCAGAAGUACAUGUUAAACCCUCUGUCAAUACCAUGUUAAUUUAUUUGAGUUUGUACAGGAAAACGGCUGGAAAGUCUAAGUAGACAGACAAAGAUGACAAGGGGGACAAAGAAAAGAUGACAAUAAAUCCAAUUUUUGUUUCCCAUUAUUCUGUCGAAUUAUUGGUCACAAGUGUUAUACAUUCAGUUUUUUACUAUGGAAUUUAUCAUCAGAGUUAUAUUUGUACUAUGGAAGUUAUCAUCAGAGCUAUUGGAUGUGUGUGUCCUUGUGAACUUGUGAUUAUGUGCUAUGCUAAAUGCUAUGGGAACUAAACCUGUGAACAUGUUCUAUUUGAAUUCUGCCAAAAAUGAGCAUGGG
Molecule: long non-coding RNA, 604 nt
Filed under: Triticum aestivum (bread wheat)
Lineage: Eukaryota; Viridiplantae; Streptophyta; Magnoliopsida; Poales; Poaceae
Description: long non-coding RNA (TAES_LNC002135)
Source: RNAcentral